CCCGGUGAACUCAGAUGGUAAGGGAUCUGCCUGCAAUGCAGGAGACCCAGGUUUGAUCCCUGGGUCUGGAA
This 71-nucleotide transfer RNA is filed under the name Bos taurus (domestic cattle). It matches the Rfam family "tRNA". Rfam says of the family: Transfer RNA (tRNA) molecules are approximately 80 nucleotides in length. Lineage: Eukaryota; Metazoa; Chordata; Mammalia; Artiodactyla; Bovidae. The record is from Rfam by way of RNAcentral. RNAcentral also lists the same sequence under 4 other names.